UACGUAGGGUGCGAGCGUUAAUCGGAAUUACUGGGCGUAAAGUGUGAGCAGGCGGCAGAGCAAGUCGAGUGUGAAAGCCCCGGGCUUAACUUGGGAAUUGCGCUCGAAACUACUUUGCUGGAGUGUGGCAGAGGAAGGUGGAAUUCCACGUGUAGCGGUGAAAUGCGUAGAGAUGUGGAGGAACACCAAUGGCGAAGGCAGCCUUCUGGGCCAACACUGACGCUCAUGCACGAAAGCGUGGGGAGCAAACAGG
RNAcentral lists this ribosomal RNA (253 nucleotides) under uncultured bacterium. RNAcentral's name for it is "partial 16S ribosomal RNA". It matches the Rfam family "Bacterial small subunit ribosomal RNA", at positions 524 to 776 of the family's 1533-position model. The record is from RNAcentral.